AUACGGAGGGUGCAAGCGUUAUUCGGAAUCACUGGGCGUAAAGGGUGCGUAGGCGGUUUGAUAAGUCUGAUGUGAAAUCCUAUGGCUCAACCAUAGAACUGCAUUGGAAACUGUCAGACUAGAAUACUGAAGGGGCAGAUGGAAUUAGUGGUGUAGGGGUAAAAUCCGUAGAUAUCACUAGGAAUACCGAAAGCGAAAGCGAUCUGCUGGGAAGUUAUUGACGCUGAGGCACGAAAGCGUGGGGAACAAACGGGAUUAGAUACCCCAGUAGUCC
This 274-nucleotide ribosomal RNA is filed under the name uncultured bacterium. Its description in RNAcentral is "partial 16S ribosomal RNA". It matches the Rfam family "Bacterial small subunit ribosomal RNA", at positions 523 to 796 of the family's 1533-position model. The record is from RNAcentral.